Molecule: transfer RNA, 62 nt
Filed under: Pandorites podoceroides
Lineage: Eukaryota; Metazoa; Arthropoda; Malacostraca; Amphipoda; Pontogammaridae
Description: tRNA-Ile
Source: RNAcentral
AAUAAAAUACCUUACCAAAGAGGGCUGCUCUGAUACGGCAGACGUGCAUUUAGCUUUUAUUA